GACGAACGCUGGCGGCGUGCUUAACACAUGCAAGUCGAGCGGUAAGGCUCCUUCGGGAGUACACGAGCGGCGAACGGGUGAGUAACACGUGAGUAAUCUGCCCUUCACUUCGGGAUAACCACCGGAAACGGUGGCUAAUACCGAAUACGACCAGUCUUCGCAUGAGGUGCUGGUGGAAAGUCUUUUCGGUGAAGGAUGUGCUCGCGGCCUAUCAGCUUGUUGGUGGGGUAAUGGCCUACCAAGGCUUCGACGGGUAGCCGGCCUGAGAGGGUGACCGGCCACACUGGGACUGAGACACGGCCCAGACUCCUACGGGAGGCAGCAGUGGGGAAUAUGGGACAAUGGGCGAAAGCCUGAUCCAGCAACGCCGCGUGAGGGAUGACGGCCUUCGGGUUGUAAACCUCUUUCAGUACCGACGAAGCGCCCUGUCGGGUGGUGACGGUAGGUACAGAAGAAGGACCGGCCAACUACGUG
RNAcentral lists this ribosomal RNA (474 nucleotides) under uncultured bacterium. RNAcentral's name for it is "partial 16S ribosomal RNA". It matches the Rfam family "Bacterial small subunit ribosomal RNA", at positions 28 to 507 of the family's 1533-position model. The record is from RNAcentral.